This 253-nucleotide ribosomal RNA is filed under the name uncultured bacterium. RNAcentral's name for it is "partial 16S ribosomal RNA". It matches the Rfam family "Bacterial small subunit ribosomal RNA", at positions 524 to 776 of the family's 1533-position model. The record is from RNAcentral.
UACGUAGGGACCAAGCGUUGUUCGGAUUUACUGGGCGUAAAGGGUGCGGAGGCGGCGCGGUAAGUCGGGUGUGAAAUCUCGGAGCUUAACUCCGAAACUGCAUUCGAUACUGCCGUGCUUGAGGACUGGAGAGGAGACUGGAAUUUACGGUGUAGCGGUGAAAUGCGUAGAUAUCGUAAGGAAGACCAGUGGCGAAGGCGGGUCUCUGGACAGUUCCUGACGCUGAGGCACGAAGGCCAGGGGAGCAAACGGG